GCCUCUGUAGCGCAGUUGGUUAGAGCGCUGCACCGGAAUCGCAGGGCCGUAGGUUCAAUUCCUACCAGAGGAC
Molecule: transfer RNA, 73 nt
Filed under: Paramuricea clavata
Lineage: Eukaryota; Metazoa; Cnidaria; Anthozoa; Malacalcyonacea; Plexauridae
Rfam family: tRNA
About the family: Transfer RNA (tRNA) molecules are approximately 80 nucleotides in length.
Source: Rfam by way of RNAcentral